RNAcentral lists this transfer RNA (83 nucleotides) under Trichoderma gamsii. It matches the Rfam family "tRNA". Rfam says of the family: Transfer RNA (tRNA) molecules are approximately 80 nucleotides in length. The record is from Rfam by way of RNAcentral. Lineage: Eukaryota; Fungi; Ascomycota; Sordariomycetes; Hypocreales; Hypocreaceae.
GGUUCUGUGGUCUAAUGGUUAGGACUUUGGAUUUUGAUGAAGAAUCAAUUCCAGCAGCGAGGGUUCGAUUCCCUCCAGAACCU